UCUUCCUAUCAUCACUGGUCACAUGAUAAAGAUAAGAGGAGACACUCACGAUCAAGAAGCCGUUCAAGAUCUCAUUCACCGAGAAGGAAAUCAACAUCAAGACGUAAGGAUAGAGGGAGGGAUUAUUCCUACAGUCCUAGUCCAGAGAGGAGGAGGAGUAGUAAGAAUCUAAAAAAGACAAGAAGCACAAGAGAAGGUCUCCCUCUGUCUCUCCCUCAGUCUCUCCUCCUCCACGUAAAAGAGGUGGUUCUGAUAAAGGUGAAGGAGAGGAGGAGGAGAUGAAGGAAGAGGAAGAGUUCUCUGAUGGAAGUGCUCCUUCUGAGGAGGAGAGACAAUCAAGUCCUUCAGCAUCAGAA
This 356-nucleotide long non-coding RNA is filed under the name Amphimedon queenslandica. Its description in RNAcentral is "uncharacterized LOC100636933, transcript variant X2". Lineage: Eukaryota; Metazoa; Porifera; Demospongiae; Haplosclerida; Niphatidae. The record is from RNAcentral.